RNAcentral lists this small nuclear RNA (181 nucleotides) under Hordeum vulgare. RNAcentral's name for it is "U2 spliceosomal RNA". It matches the Rfam family "U2 spliceosomal RNA". From Rfam's summary of the family: U2 is a small nuclear RNA (snRNA) component of the spliceosome (involved in pre-mRNA splicing). Complementary binding between U2 snRNA (in an area lying towards the 5' end but 3' to hairpin I) and the branchpoint sequence (BPS) of the intron results the bulging out of an unpaired adenosine, on the BPS, which initiates a nucleophilic attack at the intronic 5' splice site, thus starting the first of two transesterification reactions that mediate splicing. The record is from RNAcentral. Lineage: Eukaryota; Viridiplantae; Streptophyta; Magnoliopsida; Poales; Poaceae.
AAAGUUAGUCAUGAACCAAACAGACCCGAAAUGUAGUAUCUGUUCUUAUCAGUUUAAUAUCUGAUACAUGGAUCUUCGGAUCCGUGAGAUAUUAAUUUAAUUUUUUGUGGGGAGGGCUCAUCGGAGCCCUCGAGUGUCGUCUUGGCAUUGCACUAAAGCCUUGGCUGCUGACGCACCCCAA